Molecule: ribosomal RNA, 2902 nt
Filed under: Escherichia coli
Lineage: Bacteria; Pseudomonadati; Pseudomonadota; Gammaproteobacteria; Enterobacterales; Enterobacteriaceae
Description: bacterial LSU rRNA
Rfam family: Bacterial large subunit ribosomal RNA
Source: RNAcentral
UUAAGCGACUAAGCGUACACGGUGGAUGCCCUGGCAGUCAGAGGCGAUGAAGGACGUGCUAAUCUGCGAUAAGCGUCGGUAAGGUGAUAUGAACCGUUAUAACCGGCGAUUUCCGAAUGGGGAAACCCAGUGUGUUUCGACACACUAUCAUUAACUGAAUCCAUAGGUUAAUGAGGCGAACCGGGGGAACUGAAACAUCUAAGUACCCCGAGGAAAAGAAAUCAACCGAGAUUCCCCCAGUAGCGGCGAGCGAACGGGGAGCAGCCCAGAGCCUGAAUCAGUGUGUGUGUUAGUGGAAGCGUCUGGAAAGGCGCGCGAUACAGGGUGACAGCCCCGUACACAAAAAUGCACAUGCUGUGAGCUCGAUGAGUAGGGCGGGACACGUGGUAUCCUGUCUGAAUAUGGGGGGACCAUCCUCCAAGGCUAAAUACUCCUGACUGACCGAUAGUGAACCAGUACCGUGAGGGAAAGGCGAAAAGAACCCCGGCGAGGGGAGUGAAAAAGAACCUGAAACCGUGUACGUACAAGCAGUGGGAGCACGCUUAGGCGUGUGACUGCGUACCUUUUGUAUAAUGGGUCAGCGACUUAUAUUCUGUAGCAAGGUUAACCGAAUAGGGGAGCCGAAGGGAAACCGAGUCUUAACUGGGCGUUAAGUUGCAGGGUAUAGACCCGAAACCCGGUGAUCUAGCCAUGGGCAGGUUGAAGGUUGGGUAACACUAACUGGAGGACCGAACCGACUAAUGUUGAAAAAUUAGCGGAUGACUUGUGGCUGGGGGUGAAAGGCCAAUCAAACCGGGAGAUAGCUGGUUCUCCCCGAAAGCUAUUUAGGUAGCGCCUCGUGAAUUCAUCUCCGGGGGUAGAGCACUGUUUCGGCAAGGGGGUCAUCCCGACUUACCAACCCGAUGCAAACUGCGAAUACCGGAGAAUGUUAUCACGGGAGACACACGGCGGGUGCUAACGUCCGUCGUGAAGAGGGAAACAACCCAGACCGCCAGCUAAGGUCCCAAAGUCAUGGUUAAGUGGGAAACGAUGUGGGAAGGCCCAGACAGCCAGGAUGUUGGCUUAGAAGCAGCCAUCAUUUAAAGAAAGCGUAAUAGCUCACUGGUCGAGUCGGCCUGCGCGGAAGAUGUAACGGGGCUAAACCAUGCACCGAAGCUGCGGCAGCGACGCUGAUGCGUUGUUGGGUAGGGGAGCGUUCUGUAAGCCUGUGAAGGUGUGCUGUGAGGCAUGCUGGAGGUAUCAGAAGUGCGAAUGCUGACAUAAGUAACGAUAAAGCGGGUGAAAAGCCCGCUCGCCGGAAGACCAAGGGUUCCUGUCCAACGUUAAUCGGGGCAGGGUGAGUCGACCCCUAAGGCGAGGCCGAAAGGCGUAGUCGAUGGGAAACAGGUUAAUAUUCCUGUACUUGGUGUUACUGCGAAGGGGGGACGGAGAAGGCUAUGUUGGCCGGGCGACGGUUGUCCCGGUUUAAGCGUGUAGGCUGGUUUUCCAGGCAAAUCCGGAAAAUCAAGGCUGAGGCGUGAUGACGAGGCACUACGGUGCUGAAGCAACAAAUGCCCUGCUUCCAGGAAAAGCCUCUAAGCAUCAGGUAACAUCAAAUCGUACCCCAAACCGACACAGGUGGUCAGGUAGAGAAUACCAAGGCGCUUGAGAGAACUCGGGUGAAGGAACUAGGCAAAAUGGUGCCGUAACUUCGGGAGAAGGCACGCUGAUAUGUAGGUGAAGCGACUUGCUCGUGGAGCUGAAAUCAGUCGAAGAUACCAGCUGGCUGCAACUGUUUAUUAAAAACACAGCACUGUGCAAACACGAAAGUGGACGUAUACGGUGUGACGCCUGCCCGGUGCCGGAAGGUUAAUUGAUGGGGUUAGCGCAAGCGAAGCUCUUGAUCGAAGCCCCGGUAAACGGCGGCCGUAACUAUAACGGUCCUAAGGUAGCGAAAUUCCUUGUCGGGUAAGUUCCGACCUGCACGAAUGGCGUAAUGAUGGCCAGGCUGUCUCCACCCGAGACUCAGUGAAAUUGAACUCGCUGUGAAGAUGCAGUGUACCCGCGGCAAGACGGAAAGACCCCGUGAACCUUUACUAUAGCUUGACACUGAACAUUGAGCCUUGAUGUGUAGGAUAGGUGGGAGGCUUAGAAGUGUGGACGCCAGUCUGCAUGGAGCCGACCUUGAAAUACCACCCUUUAAUGUUUGAUGUUCUAACGUUGACCCGUAAUCCGGGUUGCGGACAGUGUCUGGUGGGUAGUUUGACUGGGGCGGUCUCCUCCUAAAGAGUAACGGAGGAGCACGAAGGUUGGCUAAUCCUGGUCGGACAUCAGGAGGUUAGUGCAAUGGCAUAAGCCAGCUUGACUGCGAGCGUGACGGCGCGAGCAGGUGCGAAAGCAGGUCAUAGUGAUCCGGUGGUUCUGAAUGGAAGGGCCAUCGCUCAACGGAUAAAAGGUACUCCGGGGAUAACAGGCUGAUACCGCCCAAGAGUUCAUAUCGACGGCGGUGUUUGGCACCUCGAUGUCGGCUCAUCACAUCCUGGGGCUGAAGUAGGUCCCAAGGGUAUGGCUGUUCGCCAUUUAAAGUGGUACGCGAGCUGGGUUUAGAACGUCGUGAGACAGUUCGGUCCCUAUCUGCCGUGGGCGCUGGAGAACUGAGGGGGGCUGCUCCUAGUACGAGAGGACCGGAGUGGACGCAUCACUGGUGUUCGGGUUGUCAUGCCAAUGGCACUGCCCGGUAGCUAAAUGCGGAAGAGAUAAGUGCUGAAAGCAUCUAAGCACGAAACUUGCCCCGAGAUGAGUUCUCCCUGACUCCUUGAGAGUCCUGAAGGAACGUUGAAGACGACGACGUUGAUAGGCCGGGUGUGUAAGCGCAGCGAUGCGUUGAGCUAACCGGUACUAAUGAACCGUGAGGCUUAACCUU